GCCACAUGAUGAGAACUCGAGGCUCAAAGCUUGAGUGGGUGAUGUAAACUUAUCUCUAUUUCUGUUCAGGCUUACAGCUUGAACCCAAAAUUUAGCAGUCAUAAUCUCAUAAGGAGCUAAUAAAAGGGCAUGCUAUCGACCUCCAACUCAUUUUUUUUGUCUUUCACUUGGAGCAAAGUUGAUAGCUCCCAGGACAUGCUUUCCACUCAAUUGAAUAAUUUUG
RNAcentral lists this unclassified non-coding RNA (223 nucleotides) under Hevea brasiliensis (rubber tree). The record is from RNAcentral. Lineage: Eukaryota; Viridiplantae; Streptophyta; Magnoliopsida; Malpighiales; Euphorbiaceae.